Molecule: transfer RNA, 88 nt
Filed under: Deltaproteobacteria bacterium
Lineage: Bacteria; Pseudomonadati; Myxococcota; Myxococcia
Also listed under: 1 other name
Description: tRNA-Ser
Rfam family: tRNA
About the family: Transfer RNA (tRNA) molecules are approximately 80 nucleotides in length. Their secondary structure includes four short double-helical elements and three loops (D, anti-codon, and T loops).
Source: RNAcentral
GGAGGGAUGGCCGAGUCUGGCUUAAGGCGGCGGUCUUGAAAACCGCUGAGCGCAAGCUCCGUGGGUUCAAAUCCUACUCCCUCCGCCA